UAGGGAAUCUUCGGCAAUGGGGGCAACCCUGACCGAGCAACGCCGCGUGAGUGAAGAAGGUUUUCGGAUCGUAAAGCUCUGUUGUAAGUCAAGAACGAGUGUGAGAGUGGAAAGUUCACACUGUGACGGUAGCUUACCAGAAAGGGACGGCUAACUACGUGCCAGCAGCCGCGGUAAUACGUAGGUCCCGAGCGUUGUCCGGAUUUAUUGGGCGUAAAGCGAGCGCAGGCGGUUUGAUAAGUCUGAAGUUAAAGACUGUGGCUCAACCAUAGUUCGCUUUGGAAACUGUCAAACUUGAGUGCAGAAGGGGAGAGUGGAAUUCCAUGUGUAGCGGUGAAAUGCGUAGAUAUAUGGAGGAACACCGGUGGCGAAAGCGGCUCUCUGGUCUGUAACUGACGCUGAGGCUCGAAAGCGUGGGGAGCGAACAGGAUUAGAUACCCUGGUAGUCCACGCCGUAAACGAUGAGUGCUAGGUGUUGGAUCCUUUCCGGGAUUCAGUGCCGCAGCUAACGCAUUAAGCACUCCGCCUGGGGAGUACGACCGCAAGGUUG
This 550-nucleotide ribosomal RNA is filed under the name uncultured bacterium. RNAcentral describes it as "bacterial SSU rRNA". It matches the Rfam family "Bacterial small subunit ribosomal RNA", at positions 355 to 896 of the family's 1533-position model. The record is from RNAcentral.